GCGUAUAUCGCGCGACACAUGAGGGCAGCAUUCAACAACAUAAACACGCGACUCUUGUAAAUCUGGCGCUCCCCGAAUUCUUCCCGACUGGCUGAAAACUUUCUUAUUACUGUGUUUUUGGUCCAACGUAAUAACACCAAAAUGGAUGAGAAGCAGGGAGCAACUUCUGAUGAUGUCCCAACUGGGGAGGUAACGUCAACCACAGUUACGGAGGGUGAUGUUGUCAAGAUGCCAACAGAUGUGGCCAUCACUAUGGAUGCUAUUCCCAAUCAAGAUAAAGAGGACAAAUCCAAAGGCCUCGACCCACAAGAUAACCAUUCCACCAGCACCUCUGACGUACCAGUGACUGGCGCUG
This is a long non-coding RNA of Patiria miniata (bat star), 355 nucleotides long. RefSeq lists it as uncharacterized. The transcript has 3 exons. NCBI's taxonomy places the organism in Eukaryota, Metazoa, Echinodermata, Asteroidea, Valvatida, Asterinidae. The record is from RefSeq and is a predicted model, not a curated record.